Molecule: long non-coding RNA, 1903 nt
Organism: Lycium ferocissimum
Lineage: Eukaryota; Viridiplantae; Streptophyta; Magnoliopsida; Solanales; Solanaceae
Exons: 2
Source: RefSeq, a predicted model, not a curated record
AUGAAAACUGAUGUGGAGAAACUAUUAUGUUGAUAUAGGAAUAAGUGUAGAGUUUAGAGAAUAUAUUUUUAGAAAACUCCUAAUUUCUGUAAAGUGUACUAUAUUCGUCCAUUUUAUAUGGCAUUUAUUCCAUUCUUUGAUGGCUUAAACGUUUGAUACUAUUCCUUUCUAUGCAACUCUCACAACUUUCAAGAAUCAUAAACUAUUCAAAUUUUAAACUUUGAUGUGAUAUUAUGUCUAUCACUCUAACUUUUUAACCACUACUUUAGUAGUUUAGUUCACUAUCAGAGGCGAAUCCAGGAUUUCAAGAGGAUAGGCUCACCAUCAGCUAUGUUUCUUUUUUAAUUUAUGUUGCCUUUGGUUCGUUGCAGCUUAGCGCCUAUGGGGUUUUUUGAUUUCUUUUGCCUUUUGGGACUUGGGUAAUUAGAAAUAAACGAAAAAAAGUCAUUAGAUGUAAUAUAAAAAAGAAACGAGUUUUUUUACUUUUGGGUAAUUAGAAUUGUAGAAGAAAAAGGAUUUAAAAUAAUAUAAAAAGAAAAGUUAAAAGGUUGCUUUAGAAAAUAAAAACGUAAAAACGUGCAGGAGCUCAGGUCUGAUUCUAAGACAUUGAGGAAAUAAACACAGCUCCUAACCAGUGCUCCACUCGGCCUGUUUUGACCAUGUGUUCCUUCAGUUAAUAUUAGAUAUAUUUUCAGAAUUAUACACAUGAUAUAUCGAGUUUAGUCGAGCGAUCAUGUGUUCACGUGACCCAAAUUUUAUACAUAAAUUUGCCUCUGUUCACUAUUACUAAUAUUAUAUACUAGGUUUAGAGUACGCGCUUUGCGUGUACCUAUGUCAAUAAAUAUACAAUUUAAAAUAUAUAAUAAAUAUUACUAAAUGAUGCGUUUAUGUUAUAAGAUAAGAAUUAAAGUAAAAUGUAAGUUCUUGAAACUAAUUAAUGUUGAUCAUACUUAGCAAGAUCUGCAAUGGAAGAAAUCCUGUCAUACACUGAUAGGACAAUAUUCUUAAAUAAAAUAUCGAUUAAUAACAUAAAUUCAAAUAACUUAUGCAUUUAAUCCUGAUUCUGUUCAACCCGUAGCUUCUUCCUUCGCGUCUCCAAGAAUGACAUAAUCAAUUUGAAUACCAACAGAUAUAGUCUAUCAAUUUUCUACCAAAACUUUAAUUGGACAUGACUCUAGUUGAAUUCAAAGUUCACUACAAGCUAAAAUCUAAUUUGAAUACAACUAACAUAAGAUAAUCUUAAUUAUUUACCUCGCCUAGCAAUUAUACUGAGCUUUUCAGACGCACCCUUUUAUUAAUUGUGAUUAAUGAACUGUUAUUGUCAUUCACAAAAGGCUAGAUGAUAUCUCAUAUCUCCAUAUUCAAAUUUCUGUCCAAAUUUAUCUUUUUAUAGCUUUUUUCUUCUCUUACUAUUAAUGUCCCCUCAAGUUUUCCGUCACAUAUCAGAAGUUCCAACAAAAGUGAGUGUGUGUGUGUGUAUAUAUCUUUGAAGUUUCGUGCUUUUAUAUUAAUAGUAUAAAUAAAAAGAUACAGAAAGAUGUAUUCAUUGGGAAAAUGAACUGUUAAGUAGAAAAAGAGUAACUAUUAGUCGAGAUAUUAUUACAGUGAUGGUUAAUAUUUAAUUUUUAUUAUUUAGUAUUGUAAUGAAACCGGUCCAAUAGAGCUCAAUGAAUAUAGAUUAUUCACCAACUAGUUUGGGAUCGAUGCAUAGUUGAUUGAUUGAUCAAUUUCGAGUUUUUCAUCUCAGUAGUCAACAGUUAGGUUAUGAACCGAGCUUUAGGGGGAGGUUCUUGUUUUUGUAGUUAUUUCGUGGUAGAUUGUUGUUGUGGUAAUUCCUUAAUGGCGGUCUUUGGUUAAUAGCAGUGCUUUUGCACUUAUCAAAACUUUCGUGAUAUCUAAUGUG